RNAcentral lists this ribosomal RNA (494 nucleotides) under uncultured bacterium. Its description in RNAcentral is "bacterial SSU rRNA". It matches the Rfam family "Bacterial small subunit ribosomal RNA", at positions 32 to 524 of the family's 1533-position model. The record is from RNAcentral.
AAUCAACGCUGGCGGCGUGCCUCAGACAUGCAAGUCGAACGCGAAAGUUUCCUUCGGGAGACAAGUAGAGUGGCGCACGGGUGAGUAACACGUAGGUAAUCUACCUUUGGAUGGGGAAUAACAACCGGAAACGGUUGCUAAUACCGCAUAAUGCAGCGGCACCUAAUGGUGACAGUUGUUAAAGCGGGGGAUCGAAAGACCUCGCGUCUAAAGAGGAGCCUGCGGCGGAUUAGCUUGNGGUAAGGUAACGGCUUACCAAGGCUACGAUCUGUAUCCGGUCUAAGAGGACGGUCGGACACACUGACACUGAAUAACGGGUCAGACUCCUACGGGAGGCAGCAGUCGGGAAUUUUGGGCAAUGGGCGAAAGCCUGACCCAGCAACGCCGCGUGAAGGAUGAAGUAUUUCGGUAUGUAAACUUCGAAAGAAUAGGAAGAAUAAAUGACGGUACUAUUUAUAAGCUCCGGCUAACUACGUGCCAGCAGCCGCGGUAAG